AUUGAACGCUGGCGGCAGGCCUAACACAUGCAAGUCGAACGAGUGGCGGACGGGUGAGUAAUGUCUGGGAAACUGCCUGAUGGAGGGGGAUAACUACUGGAAACGGUAGCUAAUACCGCAUACCAUCAGAUGUGCCCAGAUGGGAUUAGCUUGUUGGUUGGGUAACGGCUCACCAAGGCGACGAUCCCUAGCUGGUCUGAGAGGAAGACAAGCCAGACUGGAACUGAGAUACGGUCCAGAAGCCUACGGGAGGCAGCAGUGGGGAAUAUUGCACAAUGGGCGCAAGCCGGAUGCAGCCAUGCCGCGUGGAUGAAGAAGGACUGCGGGUUGGAAAGUACUUUCAGCGGGGAGGCGUUACCCGCAGAAGAAGCACCGGCUAACGCCGUGCCAGCAGCCGCGGUAAUUC
This 406-nucleotide ribosomal RNA is filed under the name uncultured bacterium. RNAcentral describes it as "partial 16S ribosomal RNA". It matches the Rfam family "Bacterial small subunit ribosomal RNA", at positions 29 to 526 of the family's 1533-position model. The record is from RNAcentral.